Rattus norvegicus (Norway rat) is the source of this 1660-nucleotide non-coding RNA. The record is from RefSeq and is a predicted model, not a curated record. NCBI's taxonomy places the organism in Eukaryota, Metazoa, Chordata, Mammalia, Rodentia, Muridae.
ACAGAGUGCAUAUUUAGUGUGUGAAAAUUCACAAGGUUAUUGCUAGGACGGUGGGAAAAUGUUACAGUAUUGAAAAGGAACGUCUAUCUGUGCAAUGAAAGCUGACGAUGCUUCUUUCCCUUCCUGGAGCUGACCCCGUGUAGACACUGAGUGAAAUAAAGAAGACUGAUGCAGACAGGAACUGUUUAAAGGAAAGAAAACACACACGAUCUCACAGAGAAGGACUAAGUCACAAGACCCCACAACUCAGUGUUUGAGGAGAACUCAAGAAGCAAAUUCAGUCUGGUUGCAAUAGCAAGAGAAAUGCUCCCUCCCUUGCAAUGCCUUCUGGGAAGCAUAUCAGACUGUACAAUGGCCAAAGCCAAGGAGCCUGAUGUUUCCUUGAAGAGCUCACUUCACCACAAACUGUGCUGAACACUUUCCAGGGUGUCCUGGAGCUGUGAAAGAAAGGCUGCCUACAGAGCGAAGUCUCAACCUGACUUUAAAGUGGGGUUGUACUAGAGACGGGGAUGAUAAUGCAGGAAGGCAGGACGCAGUGAGGCAGGAGGCUGCACCGAGCCUGAGGAUUGAACAGCCUCCUGCUGGUGCACUUAGGGGGACUGGAAGGACUAACAAGUCUGAUGAUUUGUGAGAUUGAAUGAAUUGAGUUGAUGAUUCUUGUUUCAUUGGGUAAAAAGCUAAGGUCUUAUGGAAGCCUGACACCAGUCAUGAGAAGAUGGGACAGUAUCAAAAUGUGUCCUUACUUUUAAAGGCUGGAGAGACGACUCAGUGAUUUAGAAUAGGCGCCUCGUUCUGUUCCCAGAACAUAAAGCAGUUAGCAACACUCAAAUUCUAGUCCCAGGAAAUCUGUAGUGCUCUUCUGACCUGCCCUAAAGCCUGCUGUGGAGGUAAAGGGACAUGGCUUACCUAAGACUGAAGAUAUACCAGAGCACAGAAAAGCCACAAGGCCUGGACCAAGUUCAGCCCUGCCCGAAUGUGGCUCAUGUAGACAGGACUUCAGAAACUUAGGAUGAAUCAAGAAAACUGAGAGAACUAGAACUUUCUCCAGAAGUAUUCUACAAAAGCACAAGAUCAUAGCAUUCUACUGAUAUGUUUAUCAAUAAUAAAAUCCAAUUCCAGACACACAAACCCUCUUGUAAUAAUGCCAUUAGAAAAGAAAAAGCACACUCAUUUACAGAUGCAAAUAUAAUACUCUCUACAUAAAGUCCAGAAUUCAAUUAAGAAUUAUGAGACAACAAUGAACAGAUAAACAAUGCAUGAGGAAUGAAUGAUAGCAAAAAUGGGAAUUUUAAGAAAGAGUCAAGUGGAAUUGAUAGAAAACAAAGCAAUACAUCAUGAUAGAAUAGAUGAAAAAUAGUUCCAGUGACCUCAUAAGCAGAUUUAAUGAACACUGCAUUCUGAAACAGGAAAAAAAAAUGACCACAAUUGAAUAAAACAAAAAGAAAAUAAAGCAAAACAAGUGAGAUGAAGAACAUUAACAAGGAAAUAGGGUGCAGAACACCCAGAAGCUGAGCCCCACCAUCAACGUGUACAGUGCAUUCUGUUUCCAGAGUAGACGUUCUGUCUGUACCCACCUCUUUCCCUCCCUCCCUUGUUUCCUCCUCUCUCCCCACCUCCCUCUCUCCACCUGACCUCCUCAUGUGUGUAUAGUUAUUGUAAA